CCUACGGGAGACAGCAGUAGGGAAUAUUGCUCAAUGGGGGAAACCCUGAUGCAGCAACGCCGCGUGAAGGAAGAAGGUUUUCGGAAUGUAAAGUUCUUUUGGCAGGGAAGAAAAUGACGGUAUCUGAGAAAUAAGCACCGGCUAAAUCCGUGCCAGCAGCCGCGGUAAUACGGAUGGGGCAGGCGUUAAUCGGAAUCACUGGGGGUAAAGGGAGCGUAGGCGGGAAAGCAAGUCCGAUGUGAAAUACCAUGGCUUAACCCUAGAACUGCAUUGGAAACUGUGAUUCUAGAGUAUGGGAGAGGCAGGUGGAAUUCCUGGUGUAGGGGUAAAAUGCGUAGAUAUGAGGAGGAACACCAGUGGCGAAGGCGGCCUGCUGGAUCAUUACUGACGCUGAUGCGCGAAAGCGUGGGGAGCAAACAGGAUUAGAUACCCCAGUAGUC
This 440-nucleotide ribosomal RNA is filed under the name uncultured bacterium. RNAcentral's name for it is "partial 16S ribosomal RNA". It matches the Rfam family "Bacterial small subunit ribosomal RNA", at positions 338 to 795 of the family's 1533-position model. The record is from RNAcentral.